RNAcentral lists this ribosomal RNA (506 nucleotides) under uncultured bacterium. Its description in RNAcentral is "partial 16S ribosomal RNA". It matches the Rfam family "Bacterial small subunit ribosomal RNA", at positions 29 to 523 of the family's 1533-position model. The record is from RNAcentral.
AGUGAACGCUGGCGGUAGGCCUAACACAUGCAAGUCGAACGGCAGCACAGGAGAGCUUGCUCUCUGGGUGGCGAGUGGCGGACGGGUGAGGAAUACAUCGGAAUCUACUCUGUCGUGGGGGAUAACGUAGGGAAACUGACGCUGAUACCGCAUACGACCUAGGGGUGAACGCAGGGGACCUUCGGUCCUCGCGUGAUAGAAUGAGUCGAUGUCGGAGUAGGUAGUUGGGAGGGUAAAGGCCCACCAAGGCGACGAUUCGUAGCUGGUCUGAGAGGAUGAUCAGCCACACUGGAACUGAGACACGGUCCAGACUCCUACGGGAGGCAGCAGUGGGGAAUAUUGGACAAUGGGCGCAAGCCUGAUCCAGCCAUACCGCGUGGGUGAAGAAGGCCUUCGGGUUGUAAAGCCCUUUUGUUGGGAAAGAAAUCCAGCUGGCUAAUACCCGGUUGGGAUGACGGUACCCAAAGAAUAAGCACCGGCUAACUUCGUGCCAGCCGCCGCCGUAA